Molecule: ribosomal RNA, 386 nt
Filed under: uncultured bacterium
Lineage: Bacteria
Description: bacterial SSU rRNA
Rfam family: Bacterial small subunit ribosomal RNA
Source: RNAcentral
AUUGAACGCUGGCGGCAUGCCUUACACAUGCAAGUCGAACGGUAACGCGGGGGCAACCCUGGCGACGAGUGGCGAACGGGUGAGUAAUACAUCGGAACGUACCCAGUAGUGGGGGAUAGCUCGGCGAAAGCCGGAUUAAUACCGCAUACGACCUAUGGGUGAAAGCGGGGGAUCGCAAGACCUCGCGCUAUUGGAGCGGCCGAUGUCGGAUUAGCUAGUUGGUGAGGUAAAGGCNCACCAAGGCUACGAUCCGUAGCUGGUCUGAGAGGACGACCAGCCACACUGGGACUGAGACACGGCCCAGACUCCUACGGGAGGCAGCAGUGGGGAAUUUUGGACAAUGGGCGAAAGCCUGAUCCAGCCAUGCCGCGUGUGUGAAGAAGGCC